This 1145-nucleotide ribosomal RNA is filed under the name Gloeothece aequatorialis. RNAcentral's name for it is "16S ribosomal RNA". It matches the Rfam family "Bacterial small subunit ribosomal RNA", at positions 376 to 1533 of the family's 1533-position model. The record is from RNAcentral. Lineage: Bacteria; Bacillati; Cyanobacteriota; Cyanophyceae; Chroococcales; Aphanothecaceae.
CGAAAGCCUGACGGAGCAACGCCGCGUGAGGGAGGAAGGCCCUUGGGUUGUAAACCUCUUUUGAUGGGGAAGAAUCCUGACGGUACCCAUCGAAUCAGCAUCGGCUAACUCCGUGCCAGCAGCCGCGGUAAUACGGAGGAUGCAAGCGUUAUCCGGAAUUAUUGGGCGUAAAGCGUCCGCAGGUGGCUUUUCAAGUCGGCUGUCAAAGCAUGGAGCUUAACUCCAUAGAGGCGGUGGAAACUGAAAGGCUAGAGGCCGGUAGGGGUAGUGGGAAUUCCCAGUGUAGCGGUGAAAUGCGUAGAGAUUGGGAAGAACAUCGGUGGCGAAAGCGCACUACUGGGCAGGACCUGACACUGAGGGACGAAAGCUAGGGGAGCGAAAGGGAUUAGAUACCCCUGUAGUCCUAGCCGUAAACGAUGGAGACUAGGCGUAGCUUGUAUCGACCCGAGCUGUGCCGAAGCUAACGCGUUAAGUCUCCCGCCUGGGGAGUACGCACGCAAGUGUGAAACUCAAAGGAAUUGACGGGGGCCCGCACAAGCGGUGGAGUAUGUGGUUUAAUUCGAUGCAACGCGAAGAACCUUACCAGGGCUUGACAUCUGUAGAACCUGAGUGAUAGCUUGGGGUGCCUUCGGGAGCUACAAGACAGGUGGUGCAUGGCUGUCGUCAGCUCGUGUCGUGAGAUGUUGGGUUAAGUCCCGCAACGAGCGCAACCCUCGUUCUUAGUUGCCAGCAUUAAGUUGGGCACUCUAGGGAGACUGCCGGUGACAAACCGGAGGAAGGUGGGGAUGACGUCAAGUCAGCAUGCCCCUUACGUCCUGGGCAACACACGUACUACAAUGGUCGAGACAGAGGGCAGCGACCUCGCAAGAGCAAGCGAAUCUCAUCAAACUCGGCCUCAGUUCAGAUUGCAGGCUGCAACUCGCCUGCAUGAAGGAGGAAUCGCUAGUAACCGCCGGUCAGCAUACGGCGGUGAAUUCGUUCCCGGGCCUUGUACACACCGCCCGUCACACCAUGGGAGCUGGCCACGCCCGAAGUCGUUACCCUAACCCCGAAAGGGGAGGGGGAUGCCGAAGGCAGGGCUAGUGACUGGGGUGAAGUCGUAACAAGGUAGCCGUACCGGAAGGUGUGGCUGGAUCACCUCCUUU